CUAGCCUUCUCGACCCCGAGCGGGCCCCACCGAGGGCUCCCGAGAGCCAGCCGCGCCCCUCCGCGCCCUCGCAUACCUGGCUGCCCAGUCUCGUCUCCCCCGGUCCGGCCCGGCGCCCACCCGUCGGGCUGCCCUCAGGGGCUGGGCUCGGGCCAGGAGAUGGCUGCGCCGGCGGCCAAGCCCGGUCCGGGUAUAAAUAGCUCGGUCCGCGGUGGCGGGGGGCGCGGGCUAUAUUUGGUGGGGCUGCUGCAGCCCUCCCUGUAUGGGUGGCCUCCCCGAGGGAGUGGGGAGCACUUGCGCUCGGGCCGUGGCGCUUUCCCCUGUUCGCAACACCCUGAACACUCCCCGACCCACACCCGCCCUUGGGCAAUGACUAACAGCCCGAGACCGUGCAGGGAAGUGGGGGACCCUCUCCAGAGCCAGGCUGGGCUCCCUGGGUUCGCCCUACCUCCACCCCUGGCCCCCAGCUCGUGGGAAAACCAGGCGCAGCCUUUGGUAGCCUCCCACUUCCUAACCCACGCCUCAGUUUCCCUAUACGAAAAGUGGGUUGGUCAGGAGCCUCCCUGGGUGUUGGGCCAGUCAAGAGACAGGAGCCGCAGAGUGGAAGGGAAGCCCUUAGCUCUGGCCGGGGCCUCCAGGGGUGGCUGGAGUCGGUGAGGGACGAUGGGGGGAGCCGAGGGGCGGCUGUCCUCCUCUCUGUCCCAGAGGCAUGGGCUGAAAGGGUCCCUCUCCUGGUGAUGGCCAGAGUCAGGCCUGCUGGGCGGGAAAUGGCAGUUGGCCCACCCCAAGGCCCAGGGGCUUGUCCAUGCUGAGCACAAGGGUGGGAGGUCUUGUGUCUGUUGGGGCCGGGGAGUCCAAGGUCCCAGCUUCACUGCACAGGCCUGGAAGUCAGGUGGGUGCUGGCCUGACCCUGCUGAAGGAGGGUCUAUUCCGCCAGCGUGGUGUGGAGGCGGCUGGGCUCGACUCCCUCAUGGAGGGAAGGAACUGAGGAGGUGCUAGGAGGCCGUGGGGGGGUGUCUGCCCCCAGAGAGGCUUUGAGUGCAUGGGGGCUCUGCCGUGGCACGUGCAGCGUCUGUCCCCCAGGGCCCCAUGGUGUGGACAGAGUCUGGGGUGGGCACCUGGAGGCCUGGUCUCAAGGCAGGCUUGGUAACGACCCCAUGUGACCUUGGGCAGGGCCCGCCAUCCAGGCCACCCAGAAAGCCAUGUGGCCUGCACGAUCAGGCCAGACCCCACUGACUGGAGCGGGGCACUUUACUUUGGA
Molecule: long non-coding RNA, 1261 nt
Filed under: Homo sapiens (human)
Lineage: Eukaryota; Metazoa; Chordata; Mammalia; Primates; Hominidae
Description: long non-coding RNA NONHSAT175775.1
Source: RNAcentral